AUUCAGCAUCAACAGGUUAGCGCGUCUGACUGUUAAUCAGGAGGUUGGAAGUUCGAGCCUUCCCAGGGACG
Molecule: transfer RNA, 71 nt
Filed under: Aspergillus terreus
Lineage: Eukaryota; Fungi; Ascomycota; Eurotiomycetes; Eurotiales; Aspergillaceae
Also listed under: 1 other name
Description: tRNA-Asn
Source: RNAcentral